Molecule: long non-coding RNA, 1383 nt
Filed under: Oryza sativa aus subgroup
Lineage: Eukaryota; Viridiplantae; Streptophyta; Magnoliopsida; Poales; Poaceae
Description: lncRNA OsNaBo_06g0025980
Source: RNAcentral
AAGAUCAACUUUGAUGGUGCGAGACAGAAACAAAAUUCGGAAUAUACAGUUCUAAGAGAAAGAAAGAAAGAAGAAAAAAAGAACAGUCAAUUGAUUAGACCUUCCAUGAGGCGUCUCCAAAGAACAAACAAAAUCAGUUAAAACCAAACAUCAUCUCAUCAUGGCCUCCCCCUUUCCCUUUCCGUGCACUCAUCAUACCGGCAGCAGCAAACAAGACAAAUCCCAACAGCAACUAACCGGUCAAACAAGAGUCAAAUUACCCACAAGAUCUCCCCAGCUCGCCGCUCCACCCUUGCGGCGCCGCCGUCGUCUUCCGCCCCAGCGACGACCUCGUCCUCGCCGCCAUGGCGUCCUUCGCCGCCGCGUCCUUCUUGUCCUUGAAGAACCCGAACACCGGCCGCGAGCACACCGGCACGUUCAGCACCACCGGCGCCACGCGGACGCCGGAGGAGUAUGACCGGUCGACGGCGCGGGAGCGUGGCUUCGCCGCGGCGUGGAGGGUGCACGGUGAGCUGGAGCUGCGCUCCAGGCCCUGGAACACGAUCUUGCCGGAGGAGUUCAUGCGCGGGGAGUCGACGGAGAGGCAGCGCGGCGGCGGCGGCGGGGAGGGGCGGCGGCGCGCGGGGCUUCGGCCGGCGCGGGAUGAGGAGGAUGAGGAGGUGGAGUGGCGGUGGGAGGAACGGACGAGGCGGAUGCGGGGCGGGUUGGGGUCAGCGGCGGAGUCGAGGGAGAGGCGCGGGAUGUCGUCGUGGUCGUGGCCGGAGGAAGACGACGACGACGAGAGGGAGAAGCGGGAGGAGGCGAGGGAGAGAGACGCCUCCGAGUCGGAGCUGUCGCGGAGGAGCGGCGCAGAGGCGAGCUCCGACGCGGAGGCCCCGGACGAGCGGCCGUUGUUCCGUUGGAGCAGCAGCUUCAGCGACCUCGCCGCCGUCGAGUUCAUCGCUCUCCCGGGGGUUCUCGCGGGCGCAGACGACGGCGAUGGCUUCGGGCUCUGCGCUGCCGCUCUCUUCAGCCCGAGCAACUCCCGCCACCGGCUCGAGCAGCUGGGCGCCUUAGGAGAGAAAACGUACGGGUCGGCGGCGUCAACCGCGGCGGCAGCCGCCCGUAGUGGCUUCAUCGGCUCCGAAGGCGCCGGCAUUGCCUCAGGCUGCGGCGGCCGUGGCGCCGCCGCAUCCAUCUCCGGCACAGCCGCCGCCUUGCGAAGCGGGAGCAGCUUCCCGUCGGCAAAGAGCUCGUCCGCCGGGAGCAUGGUGGCGGAGCCCCCGAGGCUGAACUCGAAGUCGAUGAAGUCCUUGGAUAUCGCCGGCUCCGGCGUCGUCGUCGUCGCCACCGCCGCCGCGGCGGCCAGGGGCGAAGAACACACGACUCACUAGAUAGGGCUAA